GAUGAACGCUGGCGGCGUGCCUAAUACAUGCAAGUCGAGCGAACGGGCGAGAAGCUUGCUUCUCUGAUGUUAGCGGCGGACGGGUGAGUAACACGUGGAUAACCUACCUAUAAGACUGGGAUAACUUCGGGAAACCGGAGCUAAUACCGGAUGAUAUUUUGAACCGCAUGGUUCAAAAGUGAAAGACGGUCCUGCUGUCACUUAUAGAUGGAUCCGCGCUGCAUUAGCUAGUUGGUAAGGUAACGGCUUACCAAGGCAACGAUGCAUAGCCGACCUGAGAGGGUGAUCGGCCACACUGGAACUGAGACACGGUCCAGACUCCUACGGGAGGCAGCAGUAGGGAAUCUUCCGCAAUGGGCGAAAGCCUGACGGAGCAACGCCGCGUGAGUGAUGAAGGUCUUCGGAUCGUAAAACUCUGUUAUUAGGGAAGAACAUAUGUGUAAGUAACUGUGCACAUCUUGACGGUACCUAAUCAGAAAGCCACGGCUAACUACGUG
This 497-nucleotide ribosomal RNA is filed under the name uncultured bacterium. RNAcentral describes it as "partial 16S ribosomal RNA". It matches the Rfam family "Bacterial small subunit ribosomal RNA", at positions 28 to 507 of the family's 1533-position model. The record is from RNAcentral.